Molecule: ribosomal RNA, 402 nt
Filed under: Bacteroidota bacterium
Lineage: Bacteria; Pseudomonadati; Bacteroidota
Description: Bacteroidetes bacterium partial 16S ribosomal RNA
Rfam family: Bacterial small subunit ribosomal RNA
Source: RNAcentral
UGGGGAAUUUUGCACAAUGGGGGAAACCCUGAUGCAGCGACGCCGCGUGAUUUAGAAGGCCUUCGGGUUGUAAAAAUCUUUUCUAUGGGAAGAAAAUGACAGUACCAUAGGAAUAAGGACCGGCUAAUUACGUGCCAGCAGCCGCGGUAAUACGUAAGGUCCGAGCGUUGUCCGGAAUCAUUGGGCGUAAAGGGUACGUAGGCGGGUAAGCAAGUUAGAAGUGAAAUCCUGUAGCUCAACUACAGUAAGCUUUUAAAACUGCUCAUCUUGAGAUAUUGAAGGGAAAGUGGAAUUCCUAGUGUGACGAUGAAAUGCGCAGAAAUUAGGAGGACUACCGGUGGCGAAGGCGACUUUCUGGCCAUAAUCUGACGCUGAGGUACGAAAGCGUGGGUAGCAAACAGG